CAUUGAAAAUAAAGAAUUUUCAUCAACCUUAUCACUUUGCACGACCAAGACUCUGAAAAACAGAGAGAAAAGAAAACCAAAAACCAUUUCUUGGCUGGUUUGAAGAGAUUCUAAGGAGAUCCAAGUGAAAUCAAAGCCAAAGAAGUGGAUUAAGCUUAGUUUUGGUCUUUUUAUGAUAUUUCUUGGUGGUUUCCAAGUGGUUUGAGGUUUAGAAAAGCUUGAAGAUAUUAUUUUCGCCGAAAAGUUGCUCGGAUAAGCACAUCAACACCUAAGACACCACUUGUUACACGGUGAAAUAUAUUUUGGACAAAAGGUAAGUAAAG
Long non-coding RNA from Humulus lupulus (European hop), 323 nucleotides. RefSeq lists it as uncharacterized. The record is from RefSeq and is a predicted model, not a curated record. The transcript has 3 exons. Lineage: Eukaryota; Viridiplantae; Streptophyta; Magnoliopsida; Rosales; Cannabaceae.